CAGCAGCCGCGGUAAUACGUAGGGUGCAAGCGUUAUCCGGAAUUAUUGGGCGUAAAGGGCUCGUAGGCGGUUCGUCGCGUCCGGUGUGAAAGUCCAUCGCUUAACGGUGGAUCCGCGCCGGGUACGGGCGGGCUUGAGUGCGGUAGGGGAGACUGGAAUUCCCGGUGUAACGGUGGAAUGUGUAGAUAUCGGGAAGAACACCAAUGGCGAAGGCAGGUCUCUGGGCCGUCACUGACGCUGAGGAGCGAAAGCGUGGGGAGCGAACAGGAUUAGAUACCCUGGUAGUCCACGCCGUAAACGGUGGAUGCUGGAUGUGGGGACCAUUCCACGGUCUCCGUGUCGGAGCCAACGCGUUAAGCAUCCCGCCUGGGGAGUACGGCCGCAAGGCUAAAACUCAAAGAAAUUGACGGGGGCCCGCACAAGCGGCGGAGCAUGCGGAUUAAUUCGAUGCAACGCGAAGAACCUUACCUGGGCUUGACAUGUUCCCGACAGCCGUAGAGAUACGGUCUCCCUUCGGGGCGGGUUCACAGGUGGUGCAUGGUCGUCGUCAGCUCGUGUCGUGAGAUGUUGGGUUAAGUCCCGCAACGAGCGCAACCCUUGCCCUGUGUUGCCAGCACGUCGUGGUGGGAACUCACGGGGGACCGCCGGGGUCAACUCGGAGGAAGGUGGGGAUGACGUCAGAUCAUCAUGCCCCUUACGUCCAGGGCUUCACGCAUGCUACAAUGGCCGGUACAACGGGAUGCGACACGGCGAGGUGGAGCGGAUCCCUGAAAACCGGUCUCAGUUCGGAUUGCAGUCUGCAACUCGACUGCAUGAAGGCGGAGUCGCUAGUAAUCGCGAAUCAGCAACGCCGCGGUGAAUGCGUUCCCGGGCCUUGUACACACCGCCCGUCAAGUCAUGAAAGUGGGUAGCACCCGAAGCCGGUGGCCCAACCUUUUGGGGGGAGCCGUCUAAGGUGAGACUCGUGAUUGGGACUAAGUCGUAACAAGGUAGCCGUACCGGAAGGUGCGGCUG
RNAcentral lists this ribosomal RNA (1014 nucleotides) under human gut metagenome. Its description in RNAcentral is "bacterial SSU rRNA". It matches the Rfam family "Bacterial small subunit ribosomal RNA", at positions 509 to 1520 of the family's 1533-position model. The record is from RNAcentral.